AAGAAACCAGCACCAGCAUCUCCGAGUCCAUCAGAGUUCAACACCAACCAGGAUGCAGCUGAAGAAACCUCCAAUGUAGAAGGCCUGAAUCAACAUGAGACGGCUGCAACUCCCGAUGCACUGAUGGAUACAAGCGAAGAACAAACUGAUACAGUCGAGGCUCUUGACGCUAACACCAGCUCUGAUAGGACGAUUGCUCCCGAACCGACCAACACUUCUUCUUCAGAACAGAGCUUUGACAUUUCAGGUCUACUUUCCUUCGAC
Molecule: long non-coding RNA, 264 nt
Organism: Panicum virgatum (switchgrass)
Lineage: Eukaryota; Viridiplantae; Streptophyta; Magnoliopsida; Poales; Poaceae
Exons: 3
Source: RefSeq, a predicted model, not a curated record